Molecule: long non-coding RNA, 1028 nt
Filed under: Homo sapiens (human)
Lineage: Eukaryota; Metazoa; Chordata; Mammalia; Primates; Hominidae
Description: non-protein coding lnc-ACTR1B-6:1
Source: RNAcentral
ACAGAAAAGACAUCUGAGAAAGAAAACUAGCAAAUUUAUCUUCCACUUUUGCAUGUGCAAAAAUUGUCUCAACAACUAGUAGUGAAAAAGUGUUGUGAUAGAAAGGACCUCUUUAUAUAUUCAGGACUUACUUGUGCACAAAAGUAUGAGAGAAUGUGGAUCAAACAAGACAAAUUAGGGUAAAAAAACUUUAAAAUUCAUCACAAAUAAGUUAAAGUAGAGUUUCAGUGAAAUUUGUGAAAAUUACAAAACUGCUUGUAUUGAGGAAGAGCAACUACAUAAUAACUCUACAGGAAGAACAAACUUAAGUAAAUACCCUCUAAUUUGACAAAUGAUUCACCUGAUUGUUAGGAAAGUGAUGCAUCUGGCAUGUCUGUCUCUGUAGUAGUCCAGAUAUUUCCUGAACAAAAAUAACCCAGUCUCAAAAAUGCCUUUCUUUCUCAUUCAUACUCUGGGUCUCCAGAAUAUGCUUGCCAGUCACCUUCGGAGCUUUAUUUAAAUAGAAAUAAAGUAGACUGUGAAAAUGACAACAAACCAGAUACUGAACAUGUUUUUAACUCAGACAAGGAAAAUUUUUAUAAUGAUACUGAAAGUACAAAAGCAAGAAACCCAGAAGUAGUUAUGGAUGAAAUAAAAGAAGUCAAAUAGGUUGUGAGGCAAAUGACAAAAAACCAAAACACCGCUAACUGGAAAUUAAACAUCGGACAUAUGCCUCAAUUUAGUGAUUCAAAAAGCCUUUUAGGUAUGUGGCUUACCUGCUCCAAAGAAAUGAAGCAUGUGAUUUAAAAAAAAAAAAAAAGAUGAUGGUGUUUCUGUUGUUACAAACACAACAGUACAAAACCAAUACAGAAUGUGUUCCAGAAGCCGUUAUGUGACAACUGUAGUGCAAAUAAAUAUGAAAGCAUAAAACUUGAAUUAGAAAAUGUGCAUUAUUCUCCACCACAUGGUGACAGAACAUCAGCAGUAUGUCUAGAAGUGGAAUUAAGUGAUAUAUGCAAAGAUUUAAGAAUGAGGUAAGCAUAUUACAA